Molecule: small nucleolar RNA, 137 nt
Organism: Otolemur garnettii (small-eared galago)
Lineage: Eukaryota; Metazoa; Chordata; Mammalia; Primates; Galagidae
Source: Ensembl
UUGGCCUUGAAUCAGGGCCAGUAGUUUGUUGAAGCUGUUAGUUUCAAACAGGAGCUUAAAGAAUUAUCUUUUGAUGGUCUGUUGGCCAUUUCAGAACUUUGGAAAUAUAAUGGUGGAUUCAUUAGAAAGAAACAUAU